GCCUUAGUAGCUUAAAAAUUAAAGCAUCGGUUUUGUAAUCCGAAGAUUGAAGGUUAAAUUCCUCCCUAACGC
RNAcentral lists this transfer RNA (72 nucleotides) under Hyphessobrycon herbertaxelrodi. Its description in RNAcentral is "tRNA-Thr". It matches the Rfam family "tRNA". From Rfam's summary of the family: Transfer RNA (tRNA) molecules are approximately 80 nucleotides in length. Lineage: Eukaryota; Metazoa; Chordata; Actinopteri; Characiformes; Acestrorhamphidae. The record is from RNAcentral.